GAUGAAGAACGCAGCGAAAUGCGAUAAGUAAUGUGAAUUGCAGAAUUCAGUGAAUCAUCGAAUCUUUGAACGCACCUUGCGCCCUUUGGCCAUUCCGAAGGGCAUGCCUGUUUGAGUAUCAUGAACACCUCAACUCUUCAUGGUUUUCCAUGAUGAGCUUGGACUUUGGGGGUCUUGCUGGCCUGUGGGUCGGCUCCUCUCAAAUGAAUCAGCUUGCCGGUUUUUGGUGGGCAUCACAGGUGUGAUAACUAUCUACGCUUGUGGUUUUCCACCAGGGUAACCUUCAGCAGUGGAGGUUCACUGGAGCUUACAAAUGUCUCUCCUCUGUGAGGACAGCCCUUUGAAUGUUUGAUCUCAAAGCAGGUAGGACUACCCGCUGAACUUAAGCAUAUCAAUAAGCGGAGGA
This 406-nucleotide unclassified non-coding RNA is filed under the name soil metagenome. RNAcentral's name for it is "partial contains 5.8S ribosomal RNA, internal transcribed spacer 2, and large subunit ribosomal RNA". The stretch from base 1 to 121 matches the Rfam family "5.8S ribosomal RNA", at positions 35 to 154 of the family's 154-position model. The record is from RNAcentral.